CAGGCCUAACACAUGCAAGUCGAACGGUAACAGGUCUUCGGAUGCUGACGAGUGGCGAACGGGUGAGUAAUACAUCGGAACGUGCCCGAUCGUGGGGGAUAACGCAGCGAAAGCUGUGCUAAUACCGCAUACGAUCUACGGAUGAAAGCGGGGGAUCUUCGGACCUCGCGCGGACGGAGCGGCCGAUGGCAGAUUAGGUAGUUGGUGGGGUAAAGGCCCACCAAGCCUGCGAUCUGUAGCUGGUCUGAGAGGACGACCAGCCACACUGGGACUGAGACACGGCCCAGACUCCUACGGGAGGCAGCAGUGGGGAAUUUUGGACAAUGGGCGAAAGCCUGAUCCAGCCAUGCCGCGUGAGUGAUGAAGGCCUUAGGGUUGUAAAGCUCUUUUGUCCGGGACGAUAAUGACGGUACCGGAAGAAUAAGCCCCGGCUAACUUCGUGCCAGCAGCCGCGGUAAU
RNAcentral lists this ribosomal RNA (459 nucleotides) under uncultured bacterium. Its description in RNAcentral is "bacterial SSU rRNA". It matches the Rfam family "Bacterial small subunit ribosomal RNA", at positions 43 to 524 of the family's 1533-position model. The record is from RNAcentral.